GCUGUCUUUUGAGGCCCCUGGUGUUUUUUUGCAUCUUCGGAGAAACCAAGACUAGGAGCCACAUGAUAGAGGACCUGAAAGCAUAAGCUCAAGUGACAUUGAGGAGAAGCCAUGCAAUUAUCCAACUGUACUGACACCAUUAGGGAGCUUGAGCUGGAUCACAGGACUGGUCAAGCCCUUCAGUCCACUUGAAAACACUUUACAAUUUCUGGCAUAGGUGUGUGAGAAUGAUUUAAUUAUUGAAGCCAUUACUAAAGGGAGGAAUUGAGGAGCUAAAAAUGGGCAGAUACUGCUUCUGCACCAGAAGGGAGCUGGACUGACAAACACACAGAGCUCAUUGCUGAACUACAGAAGUUGGACACAAGCUUUGAGGCCAUGUGGUUGAAUCCAAGAUUUAUCCUCCAUCCCUGGACCAGAGACAUCCCCAUGAGCCUUCAUCCUUUGCCUGGUACCAGCCGUGGGGUGAAAUGGAGUUCUUGAACAGGAGGUGAUCUGACAAAAAGCAUAUUUGCACCACAGAUACCUGAUGUAUUACUUCAUCAGCAAAUUCAACAAGGCCAAGAUGUCUUCAUUUUCCUUCAGAGCAAGAGCUGUAAGAGCAGUGUGGUGGAGGUAUUGGUCUUCUGUGGCCAGGCGGUGAGAGCCCAUCGACAGCUGUGAUGAGCAGAGCAGACACGGGAGACAGGAGGCAGCUGAAGCCAAAGAGGACCCACGCCUGGAGCUGUGUCUGUGUGAUUGGAGCAGAGAGAGGCCAGGACCCAAGGAAAUCCCAGCAGCAAGGGAAAAAAACAGAUUGACUCUCAGUGACUCAUUUAGCUCCUGGAUUGGACAGAUCUCUCCCCUGCUGGCAAUUUGGCUGAGCAUCAAUGGACAGAUACCAGGAUGAAUAGCUUAAAAUAAUUAGGGGUUGGGAAUUUGCAAAACUGCUAGCCAUCCAAUUCUUUACUGUGCAAUGUGAGGCAGAAAAAAGAAAUUACAUUUAGGUUAUUAAAUAUUAAGUCAGUGGAUUUACUUCCAUUUGGUGCAGAACAGGAAACUGGCUAAAAUUCAACAUUUAUAUCAUUGUGUUGAUGGUCUGUUUAUCACUGAGCAAGUAAGUGCUUUUUGGCAGGUCAAGCUCUUUGACACAUGGGGCAAAUGCGUGCUUAAUUUCUCCCAAACAGAAGAAUUAAUAUAAUAAUAAUUAACACAGAUGAGAACAGAAUUAAAAUCAAGUACAGUCAGGAGUUUAGUUUAAUGCGAGGUGUCUCACAUUCUAGAUGUUCUGGGGCCAGAUUUUUCCUGUUGAAGAUAGCAAGGGUUUUGCCUUUGGCACUUCUGGGAGCUGAAGUGCGCCUUGCACGUAAAGAGACAGGAUUCCCUGUACUUUCUAUUAAGUGCACAAAACCAGAAGCAACAGGCUCAUUUAGUAUCAGUAAAGGUCAGUUAAAAUUAUAGAGACAUCCUUUGGAGCAAAUCCUCUGUCUUGCAUUUGCAUAUUUAUGAAUUAGAGAUUACGACAGGCUAUUUCAUUUAUUAGAGCAGCACUGCUAUAGUUAAUAGUCUGUCAGUACUUCCAUUAUAAACCCCGUUUUUCAGUGUUUAAUAUCUCAGCCAUUUAAAAUCACAUCAGGAAGCAAGUCAGUCUUAUGUUGCUGGCCAGGUGCAAUUUUUUGUUAUGGAUUACUUUCAAUAAUGAAAUACUGCUCAUCAUAUAUGCAAAUGAGCCACAGCAUUUCUGUUGGAGGGACAUAGGAAGGUGUGUUAGUUUCAUUGUGGCUUUGUUUUUCUUUAGGAAAGAAGGGAAAAGAGGAAUUUGACCAAUCAUGUCAACUGUGGCCUUAUGUUUGAAGAAGAGUUUUUCAAGCAACUGCUCUCAGAGGCAAGGCUGGUUCUCAGUGGGAAAUCAGGUUGCUGUUUGCUUUCCAGUGGUGACCAAGGUAAACAGGCAUGGAUCAUAGUACGUGAUGGUAAUAACAUUGCCCAAACAGAGUAUCUUCCAUCUCCCAAGGGACUCAGUCUUCUUCAUAAACAUACAAAUAGGAGACAGAAACCAGGCAUAAAGAGCCCUUCAUUCACUCAUGGCAUAAAACCACCCCAAAACAGACAUGUGACAAUUGCUGAAUCAUGCAUUGGAAUAACUGAAGGCAGAGAACCACCAGGAAAGACUUUCUAUCUCAUGAAGAAUCACAUGAGAUUAACCAGAAAUGUGACUAGAACUGUGAUAUUUUUAUGACUUACCAGACAUUAGGGCAAUCCUUAAACCAUGGUGAAAACAGAUCCACACAGUGAAUCAGAUCAUUCUUUGAACUUAGCCAGGAAGAUCUAGGUUACAGCCACCAAAUGUCUUGAGCAUUUGAGUUAAUUCUGAUCUCUGCUAAGAUUUACUGUGAAUGUGGUGUGAAAGUCUGCUGCACUCCCAGCCAAAACCUCCCUGCCUGCUCAUCCCUCAUUCCUCCUGUGCUACAUCUGUAGUAACUGACAAGUAUGAAUAUCACUGGGGCCAGCACUACAGAGAUGGUAACUUACACAGUAUAAACAGAAAACAUGGCACACAGUACUUACUCUUUUUUGAUAUGGUUUCAAGGUGAGAAACCCAGGAGAAGAAUGGAAAGGUGAAAAUUCCAACACCAAAAAGAAACCAAAGAGCCCUACGCUGUGACUCAUCAUUAAUGUAAAAUGUCAGAGCCUAAAGCUCUGCUUUUUUCAUGUGCCUGGAUGCAGAAGGGUGAGGUGCCCUCUGAGGAUGAUUUUAUCUUUUACUUUUGAGUCUGAAGAUCUUGAAUGUGGUUUGGCAAGUUCAUAAAAAUACUGUGAUGAAGUUGAGUUGAGUUGCCAUCUGGAAAUGAUGCAUACAGAGAUGUAAGAAAGCUUGAGGAGAAAACUGCAAAUGCUGGAAGAAGAAUCAGCAAUGCACAUGAAUGAGGUUAAAAAUUGCAGACAAUUAGCUACAAGAUGACUCCUACUAAAUAAAUCAUCAAAGACUUGACUACUGCUUCCAGGUUUCUACUGCGAUAUUAGCUCAUUGGAACAGUCAAAAAGAUGUUAAUUUGGCCAAAGUUUUAGAAAUGUGCUAUUCUUGUUUGAAUUAACAAAUCAACCAACAAGGCCAAUCUAUACUGUCUUGCCAAGGCUAUAAAGCUUCUAGGGAAGCUAUUAUAUUUAAUGCUCAGGAUCUAGGGCCCCAUGAUAUGCAAAAUAAGCCUCUUUGUGUUAAAUGAGAGCUGAGCAGGGAAGAAAACCUGAUCUUGUCAUGGAAUUUCACAUCUUGUUCCAGCAUUCAGGAAAGUGCUUUGGAUGUCCAAUUUAAUAGAGGAGCACAAUUUUUUUUUUUCCUGUAUGCCUCCACAGACCAGGCCUUGCUCUGUUCUCAUUUAGUUUAAUCCAAGACUCAAAGUAAAAAAUAUUCCAAUUGCUUCCAAUAGGCAUCCAAUCAAUCUUGUGCAAUGGUUUUACUUAAAUGUAAAUUCAGUGCUAAGUUCCUCCCAAGAAAAAGAGAGGUAAGUGAUACGAGUCUACACACAAACUUUCCACCCUCCUGUUAUUUGCUGCUGAUAGAACCUAUCCUUUGGCUUGGCAAAAACUUCUUAAUUUGUCUGGUCUAUCUGCAGGGUUGACUGGUGUAAAAAAAAUGCUCACCUCGACCUUCUUUAUUGCUACAUCGAGCCAGCUCACUACAGUUGUACUCUUUUCUACUGCUUGAGAUUUACUUGUGUCCCUGGUGUGUUGUGAUAAGCCUCUGAAUGGCAGUGCUGUGAAGGUUUUGCUCUUCCCAAAGACUCUCCUGAGGUUCAGUGAAGGCAAGUAGGGUUUG
Melospiza georgiana is the source of this 3793-nucleotide long non-coding RNA. RefSeq lists it as uncharacterized. The record is from RefSeq and is a predicted model, not a curated record. NCBI's taxonomy places the organism in Eukaryota, Metazoa, Chordata, Aves, Passeriformes, Passerellidae. The transcript is spliced from 9 exons.